GAUGAACGCUGGCGGCGUGCUUAACACAUGCAAGUCGAACGAAGCACUUUAUUUGAUUUCCUUCGGGACUGAUUAUUUUGUGACUGAGUGGCGGACGGGUGAGUAACGCGUGGGUAACCUGCCUUGUACAGGGGGAUAGCAGUUGGAAACGGCUGCUAAUACCGCAUAAGCGCACAGCAUCGCAUGAUGCAGUGUGAAAAACUCCGGUGGUAUAAGAUGGACCCGCGUUGGAUUAGCUAGUUGGUGAGGUAACGGCCCACCAAGGCGACGAUCCAUAGCCGACCUGAGAGUGUGACCGGCCACAUUGGGACUGAGACACGGCCCAAACUCCUACGGGAGGCAGCAGUGGGGAAUAUUGCACAAUGGGCGAAAGCCUGAUGCAGCGACGCCGCGUGAGCGAAGAAGUAUUUCGGUAUGUAAAGCUCUAUCAGCAGGGAAGAUAAUGACGGUACCUGACUAAGAAGCACCGGCUAAAUACGUG
This 481-nucleotide ribosomal RNA is filed under the name uncultured bacterium. Its description in RNAcentral is "partial 16S ribosomal RNA". It matches the Rfam family "Bacterial small subunit ribosomal RNA", at positions 28 to 507 of the family's 1533-position model. The record is from RNAcentral.